GGUAAAACAAUAUGACAACAUAACCUCCAUUCUAUGUGAUUUGACACACACAUUAUAUGACACGGCUUCCUAAAAAUCAAGCAGCAGCCCACAUGCAUCCCAUGAUAAAAGUAAAAUUGCUGUAGUUACAAUAUCAAUCUACAUGCUGCAGCAACUUAGGAUAGUCCAAUAGACUUUGAGCACACCACUCUGAACAAUAGAAGAGUUGAAGAAAGUUAAGAAAAAUGGGAUCCAAAUCAACAAACAAAAGUAUUAGUUAUCUUCUUUUUUUAAAGAAAGAAAAAGUACCAGUUAUAGACUGAUUUUGUGUAGAAGUUACGAAAGAAAGAGACUGAAAUCACAGAGGGUCCUACAUUGGACUUCACUAGAUACGAAAGCAAUAAAAUCUUGUAAAAUGUUACUAAACCAGUUACUAAAGAUAACAAAUAGAAAGAGCAAAAAACAUGUGAAGACAGAAUAUAGAAAAGGAACUCCAAGAGCUGGAAGGAGGAGG
RNAcentral lists this long non-coding RNA (493 nucleotides) under Ananas comosus (pineapple). RNAcentral's name for it is "long non-coding RNA (ACOM_LNC028314)". The record is from RNAcentral. Lineage: Eukaryota; Viridiplantae; Streptophyta; Magnoliopsida; Poales; Bromeliaceae.